CCCUUCCCUUCUUCGUGACUCAUCGAGAGAGGCAAACCCGUGAAAGAUAAAGGGGUAGCAAGGGCCACCGCCACAGAUACUCGUUGACACUGGGGUUCGGGCUCCAGUGGGGCUACUCAGAGGUUGGUCUAGCCGCAUAGAAGCUGUGUGAGGGAUUAAUUGGAGGGAAACUAGCUGAAGCCAUAUGAAUUCCUUGUAGGCCGAACAACACCACCGCAGGGCCGCAACUCACUGCAUUCAGAGGUGUCUGUGCCUCUAGGGUCGGUGAGUAUCUACCCUUGCGAUUUGUCAUUAUCUGCUCGAUGUAUAGCACUUUUUGUCUAAAAGCUUGAAUCCUGAUGUCGGAUCUGGCGAACACCGACGAUGUCGCCACCACGGUGAUGCCCCUCGCCGCCGUGGUUUGGGAUCGGGUGGGGACAAUGGCUUUUGGGCCGUUGAUUCCACAGGAACAGUUAGGAUUACAAUAGAACGUACCGGUUGGGGUAGGAUGGAUCUGCAUCGCUGGAUGGGGAUCAAAUGUGUAUGAUUUUAUCUUGGACAUUUUAGAUCCUGAUCGUCGGUCUGGAGUUGAGCGGCUGAGAUUUGUUUGUCUUACCGGAUUCGGGGUGCGCGCAGAUCAGUCGUUGGAUCGUGGGCGUAGAGUUGGGAUCAGAUCUUAUGCUCAUUAAACCAUGGCCCUCGAUCUCAGAUCCGGUGAGCCAUGUUGCAUACCGGUUCACGGGGAUUGGGUGUCGAUCCAUGCUGCCCACUGCCCACAUCUGAUCGAACGACUUAGUGAGCGAUACCCCUUCGGCCCGACCACCUUACUAAAGAAAACCUGGACUUAUUUGCAAUUAACUCGCAGUCCACCACGGGUUAAGGUAAGUCUGGGAAUUUUUGCAAGUUAGCUCCUAUUCUCUUAUGUAUUCUUGUGCGCAAUCCAGGAAGCUAUUAAUUGGAUAAAAAUAUAGAAAAAGAGUUUUUGCAUUAAAAUAAUUAUAGAAACUUGUUUAAAUCAUAAUAAAUUCAUUUGAAUUCCGUUUUGAUCCAUUCCAAUUGCAUUAAUUUUGUUUUAAUAUUGUUUAUCACAUGGUAACUCUGUUUAGCCAUGAAACAUAGAUUAAAUUUGUCUACUUAAUUUAUUCUAUAUAAAACACAUAAAACCUUCGGAAAAUCAUAACUUGAUAACCGUAACUCCGAAUUUAGUGAUUCUCGAACCUACGAUCUUGUUACAAUGCAUAGAUUAUUAUUAUGUAUUCUGUUCUCAUGUUUGGUGUGAUGUUAAUUUCUCCUAUACUAUGCUUGUUUGUAUUGUUGCGAGUAGACGAGCAAGCCAUUGAGGCCUCAGGUGUUCAGCAGGUGGAGUUUGUUGAGCAGGAGCUCGUUGAAG
Molecule: long non-coding RNA, 1369 nt
Filed under: Zea mays
Lineage: Eukaryota; Viridiplantae; Streptophyta; Magnoliopsida; Poales; Poaceae
Description: long non-coding RNA (ZMAY_LNC002300)
Source: RNAcentral